Molecule: small nucleolar RNA, 88 nt
Organism: Copidosoma floridanum
Lineage: Eukaryota; Metazoa; Arthropoda; Insecta; Hymenoptera; Encyrtidae
Product: small nucleolar RNA snR60/Z15/Z230/Z193/J17
Source: RefSeq, a predicted model, not a curated record
AGAAAUUUGUUCGUGAUGAUUUCAUAGUUCAACUGAAAUGAAAUUGAUGACAUAGCAUAUUAUGUCUUUCGCUCCUAUCUGAUUUCUU